AACGAACGCUGGCGGCAUGCCUAACACAUGCAAGUCGAACGAGAUCUUCGGGUCUAGUGGCGCACGGGUGCGUAACGCGUGGGAAUCUGCCCUUUGGUUCGGAAUAACAGUUGGAAACGACUGCUAAUACCGGAUGACGACGAAAGUCCAAAGAUUUAUCGCCAGAGGAUGAGCCCGCGUAGGAUUAGCUAGUUGGUGUGGUAAAGGCGCACCAAGGCGACGAUCCUUAGCUGGUCUGAGAGGAUGAUCAGCCACACUGGGACUGAGACACGGCCCAGACUCCUACGGGAGGCAGCAGUGGGGAAUAUUGGACAAUGGGCGAAAGCCUGAUCCAGCAAUGCCGCGUGAGUGAUGAAGGCCUUAGGGUUGUAAAGCUCUUUUACCCGGGAUGAUAAUGACAGUACCGGGAGAAUAAGCUCCGGCUAACUACGUGCCAGCCGCCGCGGUAA
This 449-nucleotide ribosomal RNA is filed under the name uncultured bacterium. Its description in RNAcentral is "partial 16S ribosomal RNA". It matches the Rfam family "Bacterial small subunit ribosomal RNA", at positions 29 to 523 of the family's 1533-position model. The record is from RNAcentral.